CGUUGGAAGUUACAACCUUGAGAAUGCCUGAUCUCAUCUGAUCUCUGAAGCUAAGCUGGGUUGGGCCUGGUUACUUGGAUGGGAGACCUCUGGGAAUACCAGGUGCCACAGUGG
Molecule: ribosomal RNA, 114 nt
Filed under: Periophthalmus magnuspinnatus
Lineage: Eukaryota; Metazoa; Chordata; Actinopteri; Gobiiformes; Gobiidae
Source: RNAcentral